Papaver somniferum (opium poppy) is the source of this 491-nucleotide long non-coding RNA. RefSeq lists it as uncharacterized. Lineage: Eukaryota; Viridiplantae; Streptophyta; Magnoliopsida; Ranunculales; Papaveraceae. The record is from RefSeq and is a predicted model, not a curated record. The transcript has 2 exons.
AUGACCUGGACUAUGGAGCGUGUAGGUCUGCCUCCAAAGCUCUCUCCCUCUCCACCAGAUUCGCUGUGCCGGUAACGGAAAUGAACCUUUACCUCCUGACAAGGUCGUCAUCGAUUGUUCUUCUCGUAUAACUUGUUCUCUUCGCCUUUUCUCAAAAAUUCAAGAUCUGAGGUAAAACAAAUAAUGAAAGAGUUUCGGGAAGAAAUGGGUUCUGCUGAUAAGUUCUUAGAUUUCUAUUUUAGUAGGACGGACCAAUUUUGGAUCUACAUCAUAAGUAUGAGGUUGAACAACGUGGAUCUGAGGCUGGUGUUACGCGACAGGUAGGUGGUGAUGGAAGAGCGACAAAAGAUUCUUAUCAACAUGAUAUUUUUCAAUCGUUGAAUAAUUGCGGAGCUUCGCACAUAUUAUCAUUAAAAUUUAUCUCGUAUUACAUGAUUAUAAUUAAAACUUAUUACUUAAAUUUAAUAAAUUAUUUCAAUAUUUUUAUUAAA